RNAcentral lists this unclassified non-coding RNA (375 nucleotides) under Lucilia cuprina (Australian sheep blowfly). RNAcentral's name for it is "protein distal antenna, transcript variant X1". Lineage: Eukaryota; Metazoa; Arthropoda; Insecta; Diptera; Calliphoridae. The record is from RNAcentral.
AACAUUGUGUUGUCAACAUUGUGGAUUGUGUUAACCUAUAUUGUUGUUUUCAUCUCAUAUUGUAUCGCAAUUUGUGUCGAAAAGUCCGGAAUAUUUUCUUUAAACCAUUACCAUCACAGUGUCGUGGUAAAUACAUAUUCAGGCGCGGAUCCAGGUCAAGCGUCUGAGGAGAAGGGGUUGUGGACAUUUUUUGUGCGUGUAUUCCUGUUAAAACGGAUGAAGGAUAAGGCUGAGGGUAUGAGUAGUAUGAUUCGUUUUCUUUUCUCAAUUUUAAAACGAAAUUUAGAUGGACAUUAGAAUCCUACACGCAGCAGUUAGAUGAAAGAAGCAAUAUGUACAUAUUUAUGUAUCUUUCUGUAUUCUAGUAUACACAUU